Molecule: non-coding RNA, 28 nt
Filed under: Homo sapiens (human)
Lineage: Eukaryota; Metazoa; Chordata; Mammalia; Primates; Hominidae
Source: RNAcentral
UGGAACUCUGGUGUGUGCCUUGAGGAUA